UACGAAGGGGGCUAGCGUUGCUCGGAAUCACUGGGCGUAAAGGGUGCGUAGGCGGGUCUUUAAGUCGGGGGUGAAAGCCCAGGGCUCAACCCUGGAAUUGCCUUCGAUACUGGAUAUCUUGAGUUCGGGAGAGGUGAGUGGAAUGCCGAGUAUAGAGGUGAAAUUCGUAGAUAUUCGCAAGAACACCAGUGGCGAAGGCGGCUUACUGGUCCGGUUCUGACGCUGAGGCGCGAAAGCGUGGGGAGCAAACAGG
Molecule: ribosomal RNA, 253 nt
Filed under: uncultured bacterium
Lineage: Bacteria
Description: partial 16S ribosomal RNA
Rfam family: Bacterial small subunit ribosomal RNA
Source: RNAcentral